AAUAUGGGACCAUGGGGGCAACCCUGAUCCAGCGAUGCCGCGUGUGUGAAGAAGGNCUNNGGAUUNUNAAGCCCUUUAAGUUGNNNNNAAGGGCUUUAGAUUAAUACUCUGAAAGUUGGACGUUACAAACAGAAUAAGCACCGGCUAACUCUGUGCCAGCAGCCGCGGUAAUACAGAGGGUGCAAGCGUUAAUCGGAAUUACUGGGCGUAAAGCGCGUGUAGGUGGUUCAGUAAGAUGGGUGUGAAAUCCCCGGGCUUAACCUGGGAACUGCUUUCAUAACUGCUGAGCUUGAGUACGGUAGAGGUUAGUGGAAUUUCCUGUGUAGCGGUGAAAUGCGUAGAUAUAAGAAGGAACACCAGUGGCGAAGGCGACUACCUGGACUGAUACUGACACUGAGGUGCGAAAGCGUGGGGAGCAAAC
RNAcentral lists this ribosomal RNA (421 nucleotides) under uncultured bacterium. RNAcentral describes it as "partial 16S ribosomal RNA". It matches the Rfam family "Bacterial small subunit ribosomal RNA", at positions 360 to 773 of the family's 1533-position model. The record is from RNAcentral.